This 446-nucleotide ribosomal RNA is filed under the name uncultured bacterium. RNAcentral's name for it is "bacterial SSU rRNA". It matches the Rfam family "Bacterial small subunit ribosomal RNA", at positions 329 to 792 of the family's 1533-position model. The record is from RNAcentral.
GGCCAGACUCCUACGGGAGGCAGCAGUGGGGAAUAUUGCACAAUGGGGGGAACCCUGAUGCAGCGACGCCGCGUGGGUGAAGGAGUACUUCGGUACGUAAAGCCCUAUCAGCAGGAAAGAAAAUGACGGUACCUGACUAAGAAGCCCCGGCUAACUACGUGCCAGCAGCCGCGGUAAUACGUAGGGGGCAAGCGUUAUCCGGAUUUACUGGGUGUAAAGGGAGCGUAGACGGCGCUGCAAGUCCGGAGUGAAAGUCCAUGGCUUAACCAUGGUACUGCUCUGGAAACUGUGGAGCUUGAGUGCGGGAGGGGCAGGCGGAAUUCCUAGUGUAGCGGUGAAAUGCGUAGAUAUUAGGAGGAACACCAGUGGCGAAGGCGGCCUGCUGGACUGCAACUGACGUUGAGGCUCGAAGGCGUGGGGAGCAAACAGGAUUAGAUACCCCAGUA